UAUAUAUAUAUAUAUAUAUACGUAUGUAUAUAUUCUGGCAACUUGUAUAUUGAUUAUCAUUUAAGCUAUCGAAUGGUUGACUUGAAACUCUAAAUCGUAUUUCGUUAGACGGAAUACUACGUACCACCAAGAGUUGUUUGACUGUACGAAGAUACCAUUUUAUAUAAUUUAGUUUCUUAUAUUUGGUUUGAUUACUGGUAUGAAAUCCUGAGAAUACUGCUAUAUUGUCAAGAAAAAAAUAAUAAACCAUUAUAUGUCACAGGAUGAAACUUUGCAUAAAUUUAACUGUAAGAAAAAAAUCUUUGUAUAUCAAUUAAGAAAGUGUUGAGUUUGGGCUAGAGAAAAGAAUGUAUCUUUGUAUAAGUGGUAAAGAACGUCUGUCACAGUUCAAAGAAAUAUCUUAGCUUUAGCUAUGAUAAAUAGUAUAGAGGGCAGUUAAGGUGACAGUCGUUAGCAAAUUAGUAAGCAAAGAAAAACAAGAUAUAUACGUACAGACACGUACAGACACAUACACACACGAUCAUUCACGUAUGUAUGGAUUUUUAUUUAACUAUAUAAACACACAUGUGUAUAUAGUUGUAUGUCUAAGGUGACACACAUGCGAGAAACCCUGUAAGUUCAACUACACAUCCGCAUGUUAGAUAUGCACAAUUCAUUCCUACAUACGUGACAAUGACUAACACACACAUCUGACUUGAUAAAGAGACAUCUGUCUGAAAAUUCUGGGCCAGUUAUCAAUAAAAUUAUCAUAGUCAUCACACACACACACGCACAGAUGCACUCUCUCUCUGUCGCUCUCUCACACUCACAUGCACACACACUCACAUGCACACACACUCACAUGCACACACACUCACGCAUAGAAUUCCUUGCAUAGAUGUAUGUAUGUCUACACAAACAUAUAUGUGUAUAUUGACAUAUAUAUAUGGUCUGAUCACUAAGAAUCCGGCCUCUUGCUAUAGUAAUGAAGCUAAAGCACGCGGAGUAAAGCCGCGUGGCACAAAUUGACGUUGAACGCUGCUGUGCAUGCACAGGAAGUUUUAUCCUUCUAGCUCACCUCUGCUGUUUACAGCAGUGCUUGGAAGGAAGGUGUGUAGCAUGUGAUCGUCACAUUGACCAUGACAGAGAAAGUUGUCAUAGCGAUACCUGCUCAGAGGCCCGCGCGGAGUUACAGACCGGGCGUUGUGUGUGUUUAUUGAGCGAAAACACCUAAAGCUCCACGAGGUUCCGGCAGGGGGUGGUGGCGACCCCUGUUGUACUCUUUCGCUCCAACUUUCUCUCACUCUUUCUUCCUGUUUCUUGUCCCCGACUUCCUACGCAACCGCUGAGCCUGGAUGCGCAUUCAUCCAUCCGUCGAUGCUCUCGGUGUCGGGGGUUGACCUGCUUUCUCUUCUGCGGGUCUUACGGAUAACAAAGGACCACGUUUCGGACUUCUCCCAUCUUGCGAGCUCUGGGAAGAAGACCGCUUCGCUCAACAGCAACAUCAACAGCAGCAGCAGCAGCAACAUCGUCAACAGCAGCAAAGAUAUCGGCAGCCACUAUCACACCAAUUGCGUCAGCAGCAGCAGCAGCAGCAGCAGCAGCAACAAUAAUAGGUGCCCCACCGACAUCGCGCGUCCACGGAAAUAUAUUGUUUGUACCGGAAAUUCAUUCAAGAAUCAUUUUUUCGAAACAGGGAGCUUCCUUCUGAGUCCCGGUAAGGAGAUAAGUAACAUCGCUGGUCAGUCAUGUUCGGCAACUAAAAGACGACGGAGUUCCACACUCGAUCUCAUGGAAGAUCAUUGGACGAAACGCUGAGAGCUAUGCAUAGCUGAACGCACGAGAAUCCUAAGUGACUCACUCGAGCCAGGAGCUAUGUUUAACUCCAGAGCAGAGAUUUUCGGGCCAUGUCUGCAUAUUAGGAAAUUUCUGCUGGCCUUUUGGGAACCGUCGGAAGUUGAUGGCUAAGGGGAGAGGGAAAUAAUACCCUAUUGUUUAUCCUUAUAGGUGAUCGAUGGCAGCAAGGCCGGAAGUGGAUAGCCAUUACCAAAGGAAGAUAAUCCAGACCUUUACCCUCCUUAUUUGAAAGAGGUCAUAGGCCAAUAGGUCUUCGGGUCUGAAUAUAUGCCAUAAAGUUAAGCCCUUUAUGGGCGGGAAACCCAGGGUAGCCCCAUAAACCACCCUUCACCAGGAAUACACACACACACACACACACAC
RNAcentral lists this long non-coding RNA (2196 nucleotides) under Octopus vulgaris (common octopus). Lineage: Eukaryota; Metazoa; Mollusca; Cephalopoda; Octopoda; Octopodidae. The record is from RNAcentral.